AAAUUGAAGAGUUUGAUCAUGGCUCAGAUUGAACGCUGGCGGCAGGCCUAACACAUGCAAGUCGAACGGUAACAGGAAGCAGCUUGCUGUUUCGCUGACGAGUGGCGGACGGGUGAGUAAUGUCUGGGAAACUGCCUGAUGGAGGGGGAUAACUACUGGAAACGGUGGCUAAUACCGCAUAACGUCGCAAGACCAAAGAGGGGGACCUUCGGGCCUCUUGCCAUCAGAUGUGCCCAGAUGGGAUUAGCUAGUUGGUGAGGUAACGGCUCACCAAGGCGACGAUCCCUAGCUGGUCUGAGAGGAUGACCAGCCACACUGGAACUGAGACACGGUCCAGACUCCUACGGGAGGCAGCAGUGGGGAAUAUUGCACAAUGGGCGCAAGCCUGAUGCAGCCAUGCCGCGUGUAUGAAGAAGGCCUUCGGGUUGUAAAGUACUUUCAGCAGGGAGGAAGGUGUUG
This 459-nucleotide ribosomal RNA is filed under the name Salmonella enterica. RNAcentral's name for it is "bacterial SSU rRNA". It matches the Rfam family "Bacterial small subunit ribosomal RNA", at positions 1 to 456 of the family's 1533-position model. The record is from RNAcentral. Lineage: Bacteria; Pseudomonadati; Pseudomonadota; Gammaproteobacteria; Enterobacterales; Enterobacteriaceae.